RNAcentral lists this long non-coding RNA (789 nucleotides) under Dromaius novaehollandiae (emu). Its description in RNAcentral is "lncRNA (ENSDNVG00000004832.1)". Lineage: Eukaryota; Metazoa; Chordata; Aves; Casuariiformes; Dromaiidae. The record is from RNAcentral.
AGCUUUUUUCUUAGCUGUGAUCUGGAUGAAUGAGUAGCUGUCUCGCAGAGAUGACAAAAAUAAACUCUAAUCCCCCCCAAAAUUUCCACUACAUCUUUCUCAUGCAUAGAUUUAUGAUCUUCAAGCGCCCUGUGCAAUAUGCAAACUUUUUGCGGCCUCCACUGAGACCUCACGGAAGUGCCAGUGUAGAGACUUGUAGCAAAGAGGUCAAUACUGCAAAAAGAAGUGGGGCCCAUCUUGCAAUUAAAGGAAGAGGCUCUCCUGCAGAGAAGGUCUGCAUCAAGAAAAUCUAAGACCUGAAUGGAUUUUAACUGCCAAGCGACAAGCCCUUUAAAAUGGGAUUAACAAUGGAAAGUCUGGCUUUUUUUCAAGCCACCAUGGUGCUGUGUUAACAUCUAGGCUUCUUCACAGCCCUUGGUCCACAGUCAAGAGCUCCCAGUGACAGACACCAAGGCUAAAGCUACAGCAGUGACCCAAGUUAUUCUGGAAGUUACAGCUCAACAUACCAGAUUUCAUGCAGCGGCUCUGAUGACAAAAAAUGAAUUUACCACAUGGAAUCUCACAACAUAUUGUGCGGUAACUCAGAAAAUAACUUGGGUUACCAUUGCACACACACAUAUAUAAUACACAUUAACGGCAUUUAUAGACACUGAUCUAUUAAGUCAUUUUCCUACACUACCUUCAGACCUUUCAUAUGAAGCAGAAAAACCAUCAUUAAAGCUAUGGUUUGCCAGACAAUUACUUUGUCAAAUCUCAAGAAAUUGCAUAAUAAAUUGUAUACAUGCAUCA